UGGUGUUCAAGCAUGGACGAGAUAAUCAAGGAGGCGCUUUGACAUUGGCUAGCCACGGGUUGGAGAGGCUGUGGAUGAGAAAAUCGUAAGGGAGGACCACCCAUUGGGCUCGGAGGAGAGAGAUUCCCUACACGCCGUCUCUUUGGAAUAUUAAUGGGCUUCUCCUGGGAAAACUGCCCACAGAAUAGGCCACUCCAUCGCUGUCUCUGUUUCCGCUCAGCUGUCCUGAGGAAUAUAUUACAGCUUUUAUUACACAAUAAAAAGCACAGGAACGAUUACAUUUAUGAUGUCAAAUUCCUCAGUCUCAAUUUUAUAACCGCAAUCAAU
This is a long non-coding RNA of Cyprinus carpio (common carp), 327 nucleotides long. Lineage: Eukaryota; Metazoa; Chordata; Actinopteri; Cypriniformes; Cyprinidae. The record is from Ensembl.